This 493-nucleotide ribosomal RNA is filed under the name uncultured bacterium. Its description in RNAcentral is "partial 16S ribosomal RNA". It matches the Rfam family "Bacterial small subunit ribosomal RNA", at positions 30 to 523 of the family's 1533-position model. The record is from RNAcentral.
AUUGAACGCUGGCGGCAUGCUUUACACAUGCAAGUCGAACGGUAACAGGUUAAGCUGACGAGUGGCGAACGGGUGAGUAAUGCAUCGGAACGUGCCCGAUCGUGGGGGAUAACACUUCGAAAGAAGUGCUAAUACCGCAUACGAUCUGAGGAUGAAAGCGGGGGACCGUAAGGCCUCGCGCGAUCGGAGCGGCCGAUGUCAGAUUAGGUAGUUGGUGGGGUAAAGGCUCACCAAGCCGACGAUCUGUAGCUGGUCUGAGAGGACGACCAGCCACACUGGGACUGAGACACGGCCCAGACUCCUACGGGAGGCAGCAGUGGGGAAUUUUGGACAAUGGGCGCAAGCCUGAUCCAGCAAUGCCGCGUGCAGGAAGAAGGCCUUCGGGUUGUAAACUGCUUUUGUACGGAGCGAAAAGGCUCCCUCUAAUACAGGGGGCUCAUGACGGUACCGUAAGAAUAAGCACCGGCUAACUACGUGCCAGCAGCCGCCGCCG